RNAcentral lists this ribosomal RNA (460 nucleotides) under uncultured bacterium. Its description in RNAcentral is "partial 16S ribosomal RNA". It matches the Rfam family "Bacterial small subunit ribosomal RNA", at positions 338 to 795 of the family's 1533-position model. The record is from RNAcentral.
CCUACGGGAGGCAGCAGUGAGGAAUAUUGGUCAAUGGGCGUAAGCCUGAACCAGCCAAGUCGCGUGAGGGAUGAAGGUUCUAUGGAUCGUAAACCUCUUUUAUAAGGGAAUAAAGUGUGGGACGUGUCCUGUUUUGUAUGUACCUUAUGAAUAAGGAUCGGCUAACUCCGUGCCAGCAGCCGCGGUAAUACGGAGGAUCCGAGCGUUAUCCGGAUUUAUUGGGUUUAAAGGGUGCGUAGGCGGCCUUUUAAGUCAGCGGUGAAAUCCUGUGGCUCAACCACAGAAUUGCCGUUGAAACUGGGGGGCUUGAGUAUGUUUGAGGCAGGCGGAAUGUGUGGUGUAGCGGUGAAAUGCUUAGAUAUCACGCAGAACCCCGAUUGCGAAGGCAGCCUGCCAAGCCAUGACUGACGCUGAUGCACGAAAGCGUGGGGAUCAAACAGGAUUAGAUACCCCAGUAGUC